CGUAGGGCAAGCGUUGUCCGGAAUUAUUGGGCGUAAAGCGCGCGCAGGCGGCCUUGUAAGUCUGUUGUUAAACUUGGGCUCAACCCCAAGUCGCAAUGGAAACUGCAAAGCUUGAGUGCAGAAGAGGAAAGUGGAAUUCCACGUGUAGCGGUGAAAUGCGUAGAGAUGUGGAGGAACACCAGUGGCGAAGGCGACUUUCUGGGCUGUAACUGACGCUGAGGCGCGAAAGCGUGGGGAGCAAACAGGAUU
RNAcentral lists this ribosomal RNA (249 nucleotides) under uncultured bacterium. Its description in RNAcentral is "partial 16S ribosomal RNA". It matches the Rfam family "Bacterial small subunit ribosomal RNA", at positions 528 to 779 of the family's 1533-position model. The record is from RNAcentral.